Molecule: ribosomal RNA, 301 nt
Filed under: uncultured bacterium
Lineage: Bacteria
Description: partial 16S ribosomal RNA
Rfam family: Bacterial small subunit ribosomal RNA
Source: RNAcentral
CAGUCGCCACGGGAAUACGAAGGGUGCAAGCGUUAAUCGGAAUUACUGGGCGUAAAGCGUGCGUAGGCGGUUUGUUAAGUCUGCUGUGAAAUCCCCGGGCUCAACCUGGGAAUGGCAGUGGAUACUGGCAAGCUAGAGUGUGUCAGAGGAUGGUGGAAUUCCCGGUGUAGCGGUGAAAUGCGUAGAGAUCGGGAGGAACAUCAGUGGCGAAGGCGGCCAUCUGGGACAACACUGACGCUGAGGCACGAAAGCGUGGGGAGCAAACAGGAUUAGAUACCCCCGUAGUCCCUGUCUCUUAUAC